AGCUUUGCGCAGUGGCAGUAUUGUAGCCAAUGAGGUUUAUCUGAGGCGCGAUUAUUGCUAAUUGAAAACUUUUUAAAAUUACUCUGGAUUUAGAUGUACUUGUGCCCUAUUAAAAAGAAU
Molecule: small nuclear RNA, 120 nt
Filed under: Choloepus hoffmanni (Hoffmann's two-fingered sloth)
Lineage: Eukaryota; Metazoa; Chordata; Mammalia; Pilosa; Megalonychidae
Description: U4 spliceosomal RNA (ENSCHOG00000015370.1)
Rfam family: U4 spliceosomal RNA
About the family: U4 small nuclear RNA (U4 snRNA) is a component of the major U2-dependent spliceosome. The structure of U4 snRNA from yeast and human has been reported.
Source: RNAcentral